Schistosoma haematobium is the source of this 72-nucleotide non-coding RNA. The record is from Rfam. Lineage: Eukaryota; Metazoa; Platyhelminthes; Trematoda; Strigeidida; Schistosomatidae.
UCCCGCGUGGUCUAGCGGUUAUGAUUCCUGGCUUUCGCCCAAGUGGCCCGGGUUCGACUCCCGGCGCGGGAG